UUAGCCUACGGGGCGCAGCAGUGAGGAAUAUUGGUCAAUGGGCGGAAGCCUGAACCAGCCAAGUCGCGUGAGGGAAUAAGGCCCUACGGGUCGUAAACCUCUUUUGCCGGGGAGCAAGGGCCGGGACGCGUCCCGGCCCGGAGAGUACCCGGAGAAAAAGCAUCGGCUAACUCCGUGCCAGCAGCCGCGGUAAUACGGAGGAUGCGAGCGUUAUCCGGAAUGAUUGGGCGUAAAGGGUGCGCAGGCGGUCCUGCAAGUCUGGAGUGAAACGCAUG
This 275-nucleotide ribosomal RNA is filed under the name uncultured bacterium. RNAcentral describes it as "partial 16S ribosomal RNA". It matches the Rfam family "Bacterial small subunit ribosomal RNA", at positions 333 to 605 of the family's 1533-position model. The record is from RNAcentral.